RNAcentral lists this transfer RNA (77 nucleotides) under Sorangiineae bacterium NIC37A_2. Its description in RNAcentral is "tRNA-Arg". It matches the Rfam family "tRNA". From Rfam's summary of the family: Transfer RNA (tRNA) molecules are approximately 80 nucleotides in length. Their secondary structure includes four short double-helical elements and three loops (D, anti-codon, and T loops). Further hydrogen bonds mediate the characteristic L-shaped molecular structure. tRNAs have two regions of fundamental functional importance: the anti-codon, which is responsible for specific mRNA codon recognition, and the 3' end, to which the tRNAs corresponding amino acid is attached (by aminoacyl-tRNA synthetases). tRNAs cope with the degeneracy of the genetic code in two manners: having more than one tRNA (with a specific anti-codon) for a particular amino acid; and 'wobble' base-pairing, i.e. permitting non-standard base-pairing at the 3rd anti-codon position. Lineage: Bacteria; Pseudomonadati; Myxococcota; Myxococcia; Myxococcales. The record is from RNAcentral.
GCCUCCGUAGCUCAGUAGGAUAGAGCAGCGGCUUCCUAAGCCGAAGGUCACACGUUCGAAUCGUGUCGGGGGCGCAA